RNAcentral lists this ribosomal RNA (820 nucleotides) under uncultured Pseudomonas sp. RNAcentral describes it as "bacterial SSU rRNA". It matches the Rfam family "Bacterial small subunit ribosomal RNA", at positions 40 to 856 of the family's 1533-position model. The record is from RNAcentral. Lineage: Bacteria; Pseudomonadati; Pseudomonadota; Gammaproteobacteria; Pseudomonadales; Pseudomonadaceae.
CAGCGGAGACUACCAUGCAAGUCGAGCGGUAGAGAGAAGCUUGCUUCUCUUGAGAGCGGCGGACGGGUGAGUAAUGCCUAGGAAUCUGCCUGGUAGUGGGGGAUAACGUCCGGAAACGGACGCUAAUACCGCAUACGUCCUACGGGAGAAAGCAGGGGACCUUCGGGCCUUGCGCUAUCAGAUGAGCCUAGGUCGGAUUAGCUAGUUGGUGGGGUAAUGGCUCACCAAGGCGACGAUCCGUAACUGGUCUGAGAGGAUGAUCAGUCACACUGGAACUGAGACACGGUCCAGACUCCUACGGGAGGCAGCAGUGGGGAAUAUUGGACAAUGGGCGAAAGCCUGAUCCAGCCAUGCCGCGUGUGUGAAGAAGGUCUUCGGAUUGUAAAGCACUUUAAGUUGGGAGGAAGGGCAGUAAAUUAAUACUUUGCUGUUUUGACGUUACCGACAGAAUAAGCACCGGCUAACUCUGUGCCAGCAGCCGCGGUAAUACAGAGGGUGCAAGCGUUAAUCGGAAUUACUGGGCGUAAAGCGCGCGUAGGUGGUUCGUUAAGUUGGAUGUGAAAUCCCCGGGCUCAACCUGGGAACUGCAUUCAAAACUGACGAGCUAGAGUAUGGUAGAGGGUGGUGGAAUUUCCUGUGUAGCGGUGAAAUGCGUAGAUAUAGGAAGGAACACCAGUGGCGAAGGCGACCACCUGGACUGAUACUGACACUGAGGUGCGAAAGCGUGGGGAGCAAACAGGAUUAGAUACCCUGGUAGUCCACGCCGUAAACGAUGUCAACUAGCCGUUGGGAGCCUUGAGCUCUUAGUGGCGCAGCUAAC